RNAcentral lists this ribosomal RNA (371 nucleotides) under uncultured organism. RNAcentral describes it as "partial 16S ribosomal RNA". It matches the Rfam family "Bacterial small subunit ribosomal RNA", at positions 527 to 896 of the family's 1533-position model. The record is from RNAcentral.
GGAGGGCGCAAGCGUUGUCCGGAAUUACUGGGCGUAAAGGGGGCGCAGGCGGCUUGUUAAGUCCUGUGUGAAAACCCGCGGCUCAACCGCGGAAUGCCACAGGAUACUGGCGAGCUAGAGACGGGUAGAGGCGAGUGGAAUUCCCGGUGUAGCGGUGGAAUGCGUAGAUAUCGGGAAGAACACCAGUGGCGAAGGCGACUCGCUGGGCCCGUUCUGACGCUCAGGCCCGAAAGCGUGGGGAGCAAACAGGAUUAGAUACCCUGGUAGUCCACGCCGUAAACGAUGGGCACUAGGUGCUGGGAAGUGUGACCUUUUCGGUGCCGUAGCUAACGCGUUAAGUGCCCCGCCUGGGGAGUACGGCCGCAAGGCUG